This 248-nucleotide long non-coding RNA is filed under the name Ananas comosus (pineapple). Its description in RNAcentral is "long non-coding RNA (ACOM_LNC044813)". The record is from RNAcentral. Lineage: Eukaryota; Viridiplantae; Streptophyta; Magnoliopsida; Poales; Bromeliaceae.
CAGUAUUGUAACUUUUGUGCGCUAUUAGCCGAAACAUGUGAUCACCUAUUUCGGGAUUGUGUUUUCGUCAGAUACCUUUUAUUCAGUACGGGACUGGCAGAUAUAAGCGAUUCGGAAUCAGGGGAUGUUCGCCGGCUUUGGUCAGAGAUAGGGUACAUCCGCAAUGCCGUGCUGCGAGAGAAAAAUCUAACCCGUUUGGUGGCAAUCUGGUGGGUGGUCUGGACGGAGCGAAACAACAUUAUCUUUCG